RNAcentral lists this unclassified non-coding RNA (596 nucleotides) under Hevea brasiliensis (rubber tree). The record is from RNAcentral. Lineage: Eukaryota; Viridiplantae; Streptophyta; Magnoliopsida; Malpighiales; Euphorbiaceae.
UUGCUUGGCUGCUCCCAGUAAACGUGCGGUAUGGUUUAUGACGAGUAGUUAAUUGAAACUUGUGGAUUGUAGUUCAUUCUCUCAGGAUAAAAGCUUUCAGAACAUGAGGGAGGAUUGCUAAAACUCUUGAUGAGUAGACCACUGGUUUGGACGCCCAGGGAAUGUUAUCUCCACUUAAAAUGGUGAAAAAUUUAAGUUUAAAUUGUUCAGCUGGCUUAAUCUCAUUGUUUUUCAAAGUGAACUUUGGAUUAUGGUUAAUGAUAUAAACCAUAAAAAUAUAAUGCCAAGAAAAGAGAUUCUGUGGUGAUAAUAAAAAAGAUAAUGUAUGCCACAAAUGAUUGACACGUGGCAGAUAGGAUUCUAUGCCACUUCACCCCCUCCAUUUCCUAACCACACCAUCUCCACAAGCCUCCCUUUUAUCAACACCACUCCUCCCUCCCACGCUUUAGCUUCACAAACCAGGAAAGAAAUUCUCAUCUCUUACACAGAAAAUGGCCUCCACAGCCACCCUCUCCAGUACCAUGUUUAGUGCCUCCUUCGCCCGGCGGCAGCCGGCCACUAGCCUACGGGCUCUUCCCAACGUUGGACAGGCUCUU